Molecule: long non-coding RNA, 1682 nt
Organism: Manis pentadactyla (Chinese pangolin)
Lineage: Eukaryota; Metazoa; Chordata; Mammalia; Pholidota; Manidae
Exons: 3
Source: RefSeq, a predicted model, not a curated record
GAACCUACUCAUGCAGGCUUAAAAUUUUAUUCACUUGAGGGCUCACACUGGCUCGGGUCUGGCUUAAGUCAGAAUCAGUCUGACCCAGGACCCCGUCUGGCUUCUAAAUCGGAACCGUCCAAGCCUGGAACCAGUCUGACCCUGAACCCAUCCGGUUUCUAAGUCCUACCCAGUCCUACUCUAGCCGGUUUUUGGACCCACUCCAGAAAAAGAGGUGCUCCAGUUUUGCGGAAGCUCAUGAGCAAAACCUGGAGAGAGACACAGACCCAUGUAGAGGGAAGCCCAUCUGAGGACACAAUGAGAAGGCGGCCAUCUGCAAGCCAAGGAGGAAGGCCUCGGGAGAAACCACCACCACCAGGACCUUGACCCUGGACUUCCAGCCUCCAGAACUGUGCCCACACUAGAAACCCAAGCCCACAACCUCUACCUGGAUCUCUCUGCUUAUGGGAUUGAGGUUACUUCUGUAGCAAAGGAAUCCCCAGAGUCCCAACAAGCAAACAACUUGGUUUCCACCUGAAAAUCUAUGGAACCUUCUGCUACCGAUAGAUUGCUUUGGCAUGUCCAGCUUCCGAUUCCGGUGUUGUUAAGAGUUCUCUGUCAUCCUCUCAGCUCCUUGGUAAGUACGGAGAGACCAGGGUAGGGAAGUAUUUGGUUUCUGUCAUCUAAGAAACUUUAAGUACUUUAAACUUUACUUCUUGUGUUUUCAUUUUCAAAUAAAGAUUGUCAUCAAUAAUGCUAUUAUAUAAAAAUACGUAAGCAGCAUUUAUUGAUUUCUAAAGAGAAGUUCUAUAACUCUAAGCCAGAGGUUUAAAAAAAAGUUUCCAAACACACUAUUGAUAAAUCCACUCAAUUGUCAUAUUCCUAAAGGACAAAUUUCCUGAAAUUUGAAUUAGAUCCUUUAUUUUUUAGUGAUCUAUUGCUGUGUAACAAAUGACCCCUGAAAUUAUGGGCUUAAAACAACACUUACAUCACAGUGUCUGUGGGUCAGGAAUCCAGGUGUAAUGAAGCUGGUUUCCUAUGGUUCAGGGUUUCUCACAAGGCUGCAGUGAAGAGGUUGGCCAGGCCUGAGGAUAUCUCAAGGCUUAACUGGGGCCCUUGUGUGUGCGUAUGUGGGUGUCACUCUGUUCUCAAGCUCAUUCACAUGGCUCUUGGCAGGAGGUAUCAGAUCUCUGCAUGCAGACCUCACCGUAUGGCAGCUAAUGACAUGGCAGAUGGCUUCCCUCAGUGUGAGGAAGCAGAGAGGAGCAAGGCUGAACACACAAUAUGGAAGCCACAGCCUUUGUAUGACCUAAUAUUGGAUGGGCAGUCCCAUUCCUUCUGUCAUGUUGUCCUCACUGGAAGAGAGUCGAUCCACAGAGUCCAGAUUCAAGGGCUGCGUAUGACACGAGGGCAUGAAUACAAGGAGAUGGGGAUCACUGGGGCCACCUUACAGGCUGCCUUUCAUACCCUAUGAGCAUUAAGUCAGGGGUGUGCUUAUUUAACACAACAUUAUUAUUAUGACUAGACUAAAUAGCUCAAGAGCAUAUUGGAUUUUUUUUCCUGGGCUUAUUGUUAACAAAAGUUAUUAAGAAUGAAAUAUUUGGGGGGAAAUAUAAAGGAAAAGGGAGGAAGGGAAUGAAUCUUCAUUCCCUCAUAUGUACACACUUCUGUUUUUGUCUUCAGUUCUCAUGCAAAUACAUAAA